Non-coding RNA from Rattus norvegicus (Norway rat), 69 nucleotides. Lineage: Eukaryota; Metazoa; Chordata; Mammalia; Rodentia; Muridae. The record is from Rfam.
GGGGAUUUAGCUCAGUGGUAGAGCGCUUGCCUAGGAAGCGCAAGGCCCUGGGUUCGAUCCCCAGCUCCG